AGCUCCAAUAGCGUAUAUUAAAGUUGUUGCAGUUAAAAAGCUCGUAGUUGGAUUUCGGGGCGGCCCGGGCGGUCCGCCGCGAGGCGAGCACUGGUCGGGCGCCCUUCCUCUCGAAGGCUUCGACUGCUCUUGAGUGCUGUGGUCGGAGAGUUCGGGACGUUUACUUUGAAAAAAUUAGAGUGUUCAAGGCAGGCCGGUGGCCUGAAUACGUUAGCAUGGAAUAAUGGAAGAGGACCUCGGUCCUAUUUUGUUGGUUUCCAGGGCCGAAGUAAUGAUUGAGAGGGACAGUUGGGGGCAUUCGUAUUUACUUGUCAGAGGUGAAAUUCUCGGAUUUCGGAAAGACGAACAGGUGCGAAAGCAUUUGCCAAGGAUGUUUUCA
This 379-nucleotide ribosomal RNA is filed under the name uncultured eukaryote. Its description in RNAcentral is "SSU rRNA". It matches the Rfam family "Eukaryotic small subunit ribosomal RNA", at positions 587 to 972 of the family's 1831-position model. The record is from RNAcentral.